GCCAGGCAGAGACGCUCGGAGACGCUCCUCACUUCCUUUGAAGAUUCUCCCCUCCUGGAAUAUGAUGAAGGGGUUCCAAAGGCCAGGAACACAAAAACUCGGAGAGCAAUCCAUGGAAAGUGAUGCCAUGAGGUCCCAGCCUUGACUCUUCUGUAACUUAAAAUGGCUGUUGAAAUGACAGUUGGAAAUAUGGGGAGCUCUGGCAGAAAGAAUGUUCUGGCCUGUGUGCAAUGACUCUGUUUUCUCUGCCAACGGAUAAAGCUAAAAUCUGCUUUCUUGGAAAC
Pongo pygmaeus (Bornean orangutan) is the source of this 284-nucleotide long non-coding RNA. RefSeq lists it as uncharacterized. The record is from RefSeq and is a predicted model, not a curated record. The transcript has 3 exons. Lineage: Eukaryota; Metazoa; Chordata; Mammalia; Primates; Hominidae.